Molecule: ribosomal RNA, 459 nt
Filed under: uncultured bacterium
Lineage: Bacteria
Description: partial 16S ribosomal RNA
Rfam family: Bacterial small subunit ribosomal RNA
Source: RNAcentral
CCUACGGGAGGCAGCAGUGAGGAAUAUUGGUCAAUGGGCGCGAGCCUGAACCAGCCAAGUAGCGUGAAGGAUGACUGCCCUACGGGUUGUAAACUUCUUUUAUAAAGGAAUAAAGUGAGGCACGUGUGCCUUUUUGUCUGUACUUUAUGAUUAAGGAUCGGCUAACGCCUGGCCAGCAGCCGCGGUAAUACGGAGGAUCCGAGCGUUAUCCGGAUUUAUUGGGUUUAAAGGGAGCGUAGAUGGGUUGUUAAGUCAGUUGGGAAAGUUUGCGGCUCAACCGUAAAAUUGCAAUGGAUACUGGCAGUCUUGAGUACAGUUGAGGUAGGCGGAAUUCGUGGUGUAGCGGUGAAAUGCUUAGAUAACACGAAGAACUCCGAGUGCGAAGGCAGCCUACUAAACUGCCACUGACAUUGAUGCUCGAAAGUGUGGGUAUCAAACAGGAUUAGAUACCCCAGUAGC